ACCACUUUGGUGAUCAGGUAUCCAGGCUCUGCUGCCCUGGGCAAUAGCUCCGUACAGGGUGCUGAGGCAUUCUGCAUCGGGUAGAGCACGAAAGGUGAAUUGUCAUUGUCAUCUAGCACUACCACACGCACGAGGGCCUGGCUGCUGAGCGCAGGUGAGCCUCCAUCUGUGGCGUCCACGUGCAGUUCGAAGGCCUGAAGCAUCUCAUAGUCCAUCGCCCUGAGCGCAAACAGCUGCCCAUUGUCUGAAUUGAUGGAGACUAGCGAGGCGAGGGCCAGCUGUGAAUCGUGGGGCGGCAGCAGCGAGUAGGUGAUGUGGGCGUUGGAGCCUGAAUCUGAGUCUGUGGCACUGAUGGUGCCUAUAUGCAGGGCGGGACUGUUGUUCUCUUGCACAAACAGGGUAUAGGAUGUUUGGGUGAAGGCAGGGGCGUUGUCGUUGAUGUCGGCCACCUGCACUGUUAUGGUGUGCUGGGUUGUGAGCCUGGGUGUGCCCAAAUCCCAGACAGUGAUGGUGAUGUUGUACUCAGCUCUGCUCUCUCUAUCAAGUGGCCCCUCGGUCACUAAGGUGUAGUAAUUCUCAAAUGUGGGUUUCAGGAGAAAUGGGAUAUUGUUCUGAAUAGAACACACUAUCCUUCCGUUGUCCCCCGAAUCAGAAUCAGAAACACUAAAAACAGCAACUACAGUCUCGGCGGAAUUUUCUGGGACAGGGACUGUGAGCUUCCUGAUCGCCAACUCUGGGGCGUUGUCAUUCACAUCCAACACCUGUAUAACCACAGUGCAUUUUCCUGAAAGGCCCCCUCCAUCGGUGGCUGCAAUUUCUAUGGUAUAAUGGUGACUUACCUCGAAAUCUAGCUCUUUGGUCAGACGGAUUUCUCCUGUGAUUUUGUCUAUUACAAAUGGUUGAGAUAAUCCAUCCCCUUGAAACAGAGAAUAGGCGACAUUGCCAUAUAUCCCAGCAUCUAAGUCCGUGGCAGAGACCAUGACAACUAAGGCAUUGAGGGGACUGUUCUCAGGAACUUGCACCUCAUAGAGUGACUGUAUAAACUGGGGGGCGUUAUCAUUGAUGUCCACGACUUCAAUGUGAACUUCGGUGGUUCCUGACCUGGGUGGGGAUCCGCCAUCAAGAGCAGUGAGGGUUAAAGUGAGCUCAGGCUGCUCCUCCCUGUCCAGGGCUCUGUCCAGCACCAGCUCUGGGUAUUUCCUGCCAUCUGAGCGACUGAGAGUAACCACAUGGAAAUGGAUGUUGGGAUUGACUGUGUAGUUCUGAACGGCAUUGCUCCCUAUGUCAGAGUCAUGAGCUGCCUUCAGAGGAAACACAGUCCCUGGCUGGGCGUUCUCAGGAAUUGUUAGAAGCAUUUCCGUGUCAGAGAACUCCGGAGAGUGGUCGUUUAUAUCAGUGAGCUGCAGUUCAGUUUGGAAGAACUGCACAGGGUUUUCCAGUAUGAUCUGGAAGUGCAGCACACAGGGUUCUGUCGCCCCACACAGUGCCUCCCGGUCUAGUUUUUCCUUUAAGAACAAAUUCCCAGUCUCUGCAUCCAUCUGCAAGAGCUCUUUGUUUCCUCUGUAAUGGAUUUGAGCUCCUCUAGUGGCCAGUUCUUCAACCCUGAGCCCCAGAUCUUUUGCCACGUUUGCCACCAAAUAGCCACUCUCCUUUUCUUCUGGCAUGGAAUAUCUAAUUGCCUCAGAGUCAGACUUCCAAAACAGCAACAAUAUAGUAAGAAAAAAGACUUGCCUUUGCCCUGGCAUUUUUGCUAGCGCUGUCUCCGUUGUGCAGAUUCAGUCCAGAAGGUGCUGCUUCAAGUGGAUUGCAACCACUCGUGAGGGUCCGUGCAAAUAUUGGAGUAAAUCCAAUUAGGGAGACGCCUUCUUCCCAAAUGAUCACACAAACCCUACCCAAUUACUUCCACCUCCAAAGCUUCCGAAAUUCUGCUUUUCAGGUUAAUGAAAUGACUUCCUGGGAGUCUGCAGAGCUCAUUCUUCAUAUUCUUAGCCUGCAGCGCCACCAAGUGUCCUUUUUUCCUCUUACAUUUCAUUUUGCCAUUUCAAAGCACAUUUAAAUCCUGAUGUGUUUCGGUAUCCUUUUAAUUUACACAAGUGGCCUGAAGUGUGAGCUCCGUUCUUAGCAACCAGAAAUUCUACAUAUGAUUUUGGUGAAUUAAAUUGGGCUGCAAGAAUAUAUUUUAUUUUUAUUUUUAAGCAGUUUUUGAUCACCUUUCUAAAGACUGCCACCAUUUGGAUUUUUGAGACAUGCACCCUCAAAGGCUCAGCUCCUCUGUCUAGUAUGCUGCUUGUGAUUUAAUAUCAGGUAGAAAAAGGACAAGAGAUCUGACCACAGUGACGGCUGGUAUCAACUCCGAGGCUUUAAGACCCAGAAGAAGCCAAUUUUCAGCCUGUGUCUGGCUCACAACAAGUCUGCUUUAAUGGAAGGGAGUUAAGGAGCUGUGAUACUUGAGAUUCUCAUCUGUACAUUUUAGAAUUUUAUUAUCUGCCAUAUUCACCAUCUGGCCAGGAGCAAGACCAAAGAAACUCUGCCUUGGAUCCUUCCAAGUGCUGAGCAUUCUGAAGAGUUCAUCUUUCGUGAUAUCAGGGAGAAUAUAGCCAUACUUCAUGGUGAGUUCAAGUCUUGCUUAGGGAAACUUGGCAGGGUUGGGCAGGUACCCCAAUUUUUUCCAUCAGUAUAAUAGGGCACCAGAGCUUCAGGUAGGAUCACUUGUUUUGGAAUGUGUUGUCCCCACAGAAAGAGUGGAACAGGUUUGUGCCAAAUCUUCAUACUUCGUGGGUCAUAAAAGGCUGUAGUAACAAAACCACCAUUUUUUCAAUUGUAGCAAUUGAAGCCAACUGCACCUCAAUAUUAACUUUUGCUUGAAAAAUAUCAGUACCUUCUUCAAAUGGCUGGACCCCAUAAUUGCUUUUAAGUGCUGGCAUGGUCACAUCUCUCCCAUUCAUAAUCUGGAUUAGGUCAAUAUAUUGAGUUGGAACAACUCGACUUAAAUCAACGAGAUCCUGUAGUCCCCUGAGACUCAAAGGCUGGUACUGGUGUCUGAAACCAUGUUCUUCAUUAAAUCCAUGUUUUGGGAUUCAGAUGUAAAAUAGAGUCUGCCCUCUGUCAGAGUCCAGCUAAGGCUGUGUUCCUCUCUGAUUUUCUCCUUUAUGGCCUCUGCCACAUUUCCUACGUUUUCUCGAAUCUCUUGGAUGUCUUUCCUAUUUUCUGGAAUUAGGGUUGGGCUUCAGGCUCUCCAGGAUCACUCACAACAAGGACCACCUCAGGUCCAGGUUGGACUUGCAGCUGUGUACCACGUCAUCCAUGAAUCUUUUCAGAGGCCAAGAAUACAUCUAAAUACAUUUUCAAACAAACUAAAAGGCAAUUAUUUGUUUUUAUAAGACUAUUGAGUAGACGAAUCCACUUUCUUGCAUAAGUUUGAAAUUUUAUUUUGUUCAAGAAGGUAAACAUGAUGAUAUAUAGAAUAAUUAAUUAUACACUUUUUAUAUUUGCUUUGAAAUACACCAUACAUCCAGGAGGAAAAAGUCAUAAUUGUAUACUCAUUGAAUUUUUAUAAUGCUAUUUAGCUCAACUUAGACAAUAAAUAAAAUAGGCUAAAUUCCAAGAAAAGCUGCUCUUCUAUUGCUCGAUUACUUCUCCAAAUGUUAGGCAGUCUUCAUGUGUAGUUGUACUAAGACCAUAGAAGUGUAAGAGUUCCAGUUGUUCCACAUCUCUGAUAGCACUUGGUGUCUUUCUCAGUUUUUACAACAUUACUGAGCAUGCUGUGACUUAAUAGGGUAAAUUUCAUUAGCAUUUGUCUGCAUUCAUGAAGUUUUGUACAUUUUCUGUUUAGUGGCCAUCAGGUUACUGUCUUUUGAGAUGCUUGUUCAUGUUAUUUGUGUGUGUGUUUGUGUGUGUGUUUAUGUGUGUGUGUUUGUGUGUGUGUUUAUGUGUGUGUGUUUGUGUGUGUGUUUGUGUGUGUGUGUUUGUGUGUAUGUGUGUGGCUUCUCUUUGCUUGUUGCUUUGAGAAGUAUCUUGUAUAUUCUGAGUGUAAUUUCUUUUUUCAGAUAUAUAUGUUCAAAUAUCUCCCACUGUAUGUCUUGAAUUUUUUGAUAUUGUACUUUAAUCAAUAAAACAUCUUAAUUGUGUUUAGUUUG
This 4136-nucleotide long non-coding RNA is filed under the name Mus musculus (house mouse). RNAcentral's name for it is "predicted gene, 37446". The record is from RNAcentral. Lineage: Eukaryota; Metazoa; Chordata; Mammalia; Rodentia; Muridae.